GAUGAACGCUAGCUACAGGCUUAACACAUGCAAGUCGAGGGGCAGCGCAGUGUAGCAAUACAUGGGCGGCGACCGGCGCACGGGUGCGUAACGCGUAUCCAACUUCCCGUUAUCUUGGAUAGCCUUCCGAAAGGGAGAUUAAUACAAGAUGGUAUUUAAAUUCCGCAUGUUAUUUGAACUAAAGAUUUAUCGGUAACGGAUGGGGAUGCGUGACAUUAGGUAGUUGGGGGGUGUAACGGACCACCAAGCCGACGAUGUCUAGGGGUUCUGAGAGGAAGGUCCCCCACACUGGUACUGAGACACGGACCAGACUCCUACGGGAGGCAGCAGUGAGGAAUAUUGGUCAAUGGGCGAGAGCCUGAACCAGCCAAGUCGCGUGAGGGAAGACGGUACUAAGUAUUGUAAACCUCUUUUGUCAGGGAACAAAGAGACCACGUGUGGUAAGAUGAGUGUACCUGAAGAAAAAGCAUCGGCUAACUCCGUG
RNAcentral lists this ribosomal RNA (484 nucleotides) under uncultured bacterium. RNAcentral's name for it is "bacterial SSU rRNA". It matches the Rfam family "Bacterial small subunit ribosomal RNA", at positions 28 to 507 of the family's 1533-position model. The record is from RNAcentral.